This 209-nucleotide ribosomal RNA is filed under the name uncultured Latescibacterota bacterium. RNAcentral's name for it is "uncultured Latescibacteria bacterium partial 16S ribosomal RNA". It matches the Rfam family "Bacterial small subunit ribosomal RNA", at positions 568 to 775 of the family's 1533-position model. Lineage: Bacteria; Pseudomonadati; Candidatus Latescibacterota. The record is from RNAcentral.
CGUGUAGGCGGUCAGGUAAGUGGAAUGUGAAAUGCCCCGGCUCACCCGGGGACCGGCAUCCCAAACUGCCUGGCUUGAGUAUGGGAGAGGAUGGAGGAAUUCCUGGUGUAGCGGUGAAACUGCGUAGAUAUCAGGAGGAACACCGGUGGCGAAGGCGUCCAUCUGGCCCAAUACUGACGCUGAGGCGCGAAAGCUAGGGGAGCAAACGG